AGCUUGGACCGAGAGGGGCGCCUCGGCCAGGUUGGAGGCUUGGGGACAGAGCAGGAGCUCUGGUGUGGACAGGUCCAGCUUCAGCUGUCUACCGGACUUCCAGCUGGAGAUGUCUGAAGGGCAGUUGGAGAUGAGAGACUGGAGAAACAUGGUUCUGAAAAGGGGCCAACAGGCUUCUCCAGACUGACUGACCCAGAAAAGUUAAGACCUCCCUCUGUCCCAGAAAGAUGCUUUGGGCGCUGACCACGGUAAGGAAGGACAAGGAAGGAUCCUGGCACAGAGUGCUGUUCAAUAAAUCUUGGCAUGUGC
Molecule: long non-coding RNA, 309 nt
Organism: Trichosurus vulpecula (common brushtail)
Lineage: Eukaryota; Metazoa; Chordata; Mammalia; Diprotodontia; Phalangeridae
Exons: 2
Source: RefSeq, a predicted model, not a curated record